CUUUACUGUAACCUGGAAUUGGCUUCGGGCUUCGCUUGCGCAGGAUAGGUGGGAGGCAUUGAAGUACCCCUUGUGGGGGGUAUCGAGCCACCCUUGAGAUACCACUCUGGCGAAGCUAGAAUUCUAACUCACUCCCGUCAUCCGGGAUGGGGACCUUUUCAGGCGGGCAGUUUGACUGGGGCGGUCGCCUCCUAAAAGGUAACGGAGGCGCGCAAUGGUUCCCUCCGGCUGGUUGGAAAUCAGCCUUCGAGUGCAAAGGCAUAAGGGAGCUUGACUGUAAGAGCUACAACUCAAGCAGGGUGGAAACACGGCCUUAGUGAUCCGGCGGUUCCGAGUGGAAGGGCCGUCGCUCAACGGAUAAAAGUUA
Molecule: ribosomal RNA, 367 nt
Filed under: uncultured organism
Description: bacterial LSU rRNA
Rfam family: Bacterial large subunit ribosomal RNA
Source: RNAcentral